Telopea speciosissima is the source of this 942-nucleotide RNA transcript. RefSeq lists it as uncharacterized. The record is from RefSeq and is a predicted model, not a curated record. Lineage: Eukaryota; Viridiplantae; Streptophyta; Magnoliopsida; Proteales; Proteaceae. The transcript is spliced from 7 exons.
CUUUUAUAGUCCACAACAAAAAUCUCUGCUCCGACUAAACUUCCCAGUCAUACUCAUAUAGUUUGCCAUGACUAGCCUGCAGAUUCCUUUAAACAUCUCUGCACUCAGCAGCUACUGUGACGACCUGGGCAAGAGGAGGAUAUGUUUUCGAUUCGAAUUUCUGCAACGCAUCAACCUGUCAAGAAGAAGGAUUGAUAGGUUACAUGGCAAUAAAUUCAAGCUUAGGGCUGUUUCUGGGAAAAUGUUUUGCUUUGUAGGCAGCAAUGGAAGGGAAGGUAUUUGCAUGAGAGAGGAGAGGCAGAAAAAGAGGGUUGUAUUGGCUAGAGUUAAUCAGGGUUUUGGAUUUAAUGGUGGCGGUGGUGGAGGAGAUAACGGCAACACUGCAAGGCUUUUGGGCAACCUUGCUUUAGCUAUUGGUUUAACUUAUCUUUCAAUGACUGGGCAGCUUGGUUGGGUUUUGGAUGCAAUUGUUUCUAUUUGGCUACUUGCAGUGCUUCUACCAAUUGUGGGGUUGGGUGCUUUUCUCUGGUGGGCAGGGCGAGAUAUAGUUCAAGACAGUUGCCCCAACUGUGGAAAUGGUUUUCAGAUUUUUAGAUCUUCUUUGAAGGAUGGUCUGCAGCUCUGCCCCUUCUGUAGCCAACCUUUCUCGGUGGAAGGCAAUGAGUUUGUGAGAGAACCUACAAAGGUCUCUUCCAACCAGUCUACGACAUUUGGACAAGCAUUCAGUGGCUUCUCUCCCCGUUCAAAGACAGAAAAUGGUUCUGUAACAGUUGUUGAUGUUGAAGCUGAAGUGAAGGAUGUGGACUAAUGGUUUAUCGCUCAUGCACAUUAGAACCUGGUAGGCAGUAGGGAUCUCGUCUUUCACCUUAAUAGUCUCUUGCUCCACCCGUGAGAUGUGUAGAUAUGCUGGAGUUUGGUGAUUCCUCAACCUGAUUAUGUCAA